CUCUCACAAAAUCCCCAUCUCAAAUUACAAACCCUAGCGCGAGCCCUCCGCCGCAGCCUCAGACUCAGACGCUCUCAGUUUCAAGCUCUCAGAGAUGUCGCACUUCGGACGAUCUGGACCCCCAGAUAUCAGAGACACCUACUCUCUCCUCGUCCUCAACAUCACGUUCCGAACCACCGCAGACGAUCUCUUCCCGCUCUUCGACAAGUAUGGCAAGGUAGUCGAUGUCUUCAUUCCCAGGGAUCGAAGAACCGGUGAUUCACGCGGCUUUGCUUUCGUUCGGUAUAAGUAUCAAGACGAGGCUUCAAAGGCCGUAGAGAAGCUCGACGGGAGAGUUGUGGAUGGAAGAGAGAUUAUGGUUCAGUUUGCUAAAUACGGCCCCAAUGCUGAGCGAAUCCACAAGGGUAGGGUGAGUGAAUCAUCUUCCAAGCUCAAAUCAAGGUCCAGAAGCCGCAGCCCUCGUCCAAGAUAUCGAGAUGAAUAUAAGGAUAAGGAUUACAAGAGAAGUCGCAGUCGAAGUAGGGAGAGACAUGGUCGUGACAGGCAUCAUAGGAGUGAAAGAGAGCAUCGCUACAGAAGCAGGAGCCGCAGUGCAAGUCCUGAUAAUCAUAAAUCCCGCGAGAGGGGUAGAUAUGAUGAUGAGCGGCGUAGUCGGAGCCGGUCAUAUGGAAGUGCCUCUCCCGCUCGGAAUGACCCUAAAUCUCGGAGAAGCCCUACUCCCCGGAGGAGCCUAUCUCCCAGGAGGAGUUUAUCUCCCCGGAGGAGCCUAUCACCUCGGAGGAGCCCAUCUCCUCGGAAAAGCCCAUCUUCUCGGAGGAGCCCUUCUCCUCGUAGGACACCUUCAAGGGGUGAGAAUGCUGAUGGACGCAACCGGAACGAGCGCUCUGCUACCCCAAAAGAUGUUUCACCACAUGGUCGACGUGAUGAUUCUCCAAGUCUUUCCCCUCGUAAAUCUGAUGCUGAUGAAUGAUGGACUCGAAUACAAAGUGGCCUGGGAUUAUACUUUUGGCUCGAGCCCUUGUAUCUGCGUUCGUAGUUGGGAGAAGAGUUUCAUAUUAUGAUCAACGUAUUGAAUGUUACAUUUGACUGCACUGCAGUUUUGUUGAAGGUUAAACAUUUCUUUGUUGGACUCAUGAUGUUCGGGAAGAGUGAACAUUGCUGAUUGACGAGAUGCUGUACUAGCUGUUGGUGCUAUUUUAACUACACAAAUGGUAGAUGUCAAUAUAUCAUGUCCAUGCUGAUUGCAGUCUGGUCUUAUUCCUACUUACAAUGGUCCAUAUGCUGGCCUUAUUUAGUGGUGUUCGGGAAGAGUGAACAUUGCUGAUUGACGAGUUGCUGUACUAGCUGUUGGUGCUAUUUUUACUACACAAAGGGUAGAUGUCAAUUUGUCAUGUUCAUGCUGAUUGCAGUCUGGUCUUAAGCUGUUUUGCUGUCAUGAAACUCUGGUUGGUUUGUUCCUACAAAGGAAACGUUGAUGCUGUUGCCAAAAGUUGAUCGGAAUUCACUUGCCAUUCCAUGUAGCUGAUGCGGUUUAGAUAAAAACACAUUGACUUUUUCUCUUUUAGGUUAUUUUAGGGAAGAGAAGAAAAAAGGGGUGGGGUUUGGUUAUGAUUUUCACCAGUUAAAUGUUACUGGUCCAUAUUCUUGAGUCAUGCCCUUGAUGCAAUAUUGGUAUAUCUGGUAAAUACUGCCGCAAGGUACUUGUUCAGCUGUGUGAAAGAUGAUUUAUUUUCUGCAUUGUUAAGCUUGUAUAAUAAUUUCUGAAUAAGUUAUGUAAUUGUAACCUUUCUUAUGCCAAUUUUAUUUUCAUUC
Molecule: non-coding RNA, 1812 nt
Organism: Prunus mume (Japanese apricot)
Lineage: Eukaryota; Viridiplantae; Streptophyta; Magnoliopsida; Rosales; Rosaceae
Source: RefSeq, a predicted model, not a curated record